CCAAGGAGAAAGGGAAUGGAUUUUUUGAUAUGGAGGCAAAACAAGCUGAGAUGAAGCUUAGUCAAGAUGAACAAAGCCAACACUUGGUGAUCUAAAGUUCAUCAUCGAUAAGAAAGCAGAGAGAGAUGCGAUGGUAGCUAGUCUUUAUAAUGCAAGGUUAUCCGAGUUUACUAAGUGGCCUCGUUUACUGCUGCUUUCUGCGUACCACAUAUGACAUAUGGCACCAGUGAUUCUCUGUUUGUCCACGGGAAAAGCCUUUUUCAAUGCAACCAAGGUAAGGAGGACCAAAGAUAAGCUGGAAUCUCACAUACUACAAGAGGAGGGCAACUACAUCUAUAGGUUUGACAAUGAGGGCCUCCAUGUUUUUGUCAGUGUAAACGGACUCGGAUAAAAAGACCUCACGGGCCUUAUCUAUGAUGAUUUGCUUCUCGUGGCCGCCUCUGCUGAAGACUCUCCGCCUGCCACAAGGAUGAAGCAUCUCAUCAAAAUACCUGCUUUGAACUACGAUCAUGACAAGAUAACUGCUGACAUCGUGGAUGGAGGUGAUUUGCAGAUCUCCUUUCCUCUUGCACACACAAGAGGGGUAGCACGACCUAUCUGGUACCCAGUGAAGUUCAAUUAAUACAAAAAAAGUCAGGCAAGCAAUAAAUUCUGGAAUUGGUAUCGGUAUUAAUUACUAGGCUAUCAAGUUAUUUGUGUUAUUAAAAAAUUUGGAAAAUUUGCCUCAUAGUCUUUCUUAAUUAUGUGUAGUGACAGUAUUAUCAUUAUCAUUAGUUACUAUAAGCAUUAGCAGUACCUCUCUUGAUA
Long non-coding RNA from Erigeron canadensis, 807 nucleotides. RefSeq lists it as uncharacterized. The transcript is spliced from 3 exons. NCBI's taxonomy places the organism in Eukaryota, Viridiplantae, Streptophyta, Magnoliopsida, Asterales, Asteraceae. The record is from RefSeq and is a predicted model, not a curated record.